GAAAAGAAACCAACAGGGAUUGCCUCAGUAACGGCGAGUGAAGCGGCAACAGCUCAAAUUUGAAAUCUGGCCCCCCGGGCCCGAGUUGUAAUUUGCAGAGGAUGCUUUUGGCGCGGUCCCCUCCGAGUCCCCUGGAAUGGGGCGCCACAGAGGGUGAGAGCCCCGUAUGGUCGGAGACCAAGCCUUUGUAAAGCUCCCUCGACGAGUCGAGUAGUUUGGGAAUGCUGCUCAAAAUGGGAGGUAAAUUUCUUCUAAAGCUAAAUACUGGCCAGAGACCGAUAGCGCACAAGUAGAGUGAUCGAAAGAUGAAAAGCACUUUGAAAAGAGGGUUAAACAGCACGUGAAAUUGUUGAAAGGGAAGCGCUUGUGACCAGACUUGCGCCGGGCGGAUCAUCCAGCGUUCUCCGCUGGUGCACUCCGUCCGGCUCAGGCCAGCAUCGGUCUCCGGCGGGGGACAAAAGCUCCGGGAACGUGGCCUCUUCUCAGAGGUGUUAUAGCCCGGCUGCAGAAUACCCCGCCUCGGGGACCGAGGACCGCGCCCUCCGGGGCAAGGAUGCUGGCGUAAUGGUCAUCAGCGACCCGUCUUGAAACACGGACCAAGGAGUCGAGCAUUAGGGCGAGUGUAUGGGUGUAAAACCCGCACGCGUAAUGAAAGUGAACGUGGGUGAGAAGCUUUUCUUUGACGAGAAGCCGCAUCAUCGACCGAUCCUGAAGUCUUCGGAUGGAUUUGAGUAGGAGCCUUAACGCUCGGACCCGAAAGAUGGUGAACUAUGCCUGGAUAGGGUGAAGCCAGAGGAAACUCUGGUGGAGGCUCGCAGCGGUUCUGACGUGCAAAUCGAUCGUCAAAUUUGGGCAUAGGGGCGAAAGACUAAUCGAAC
Molecule: ribosomal RNA, 878 nt
Filed under: Pseudohalonectria fagicola
Lineage: Eukaryota; Fungi; Ascomycota; Sordariomycetes; Magnaporthales; Ophioceraceae
Description: eukaryotic LSU rRNA
Rfam family: Eukaryotic large subunit ribosomal RNA
Source: RNAcentral